RNAcentral lists this ribosomal RNA (1005 nucleotides) under human gut metagenome. RNAcentral describes it as "bacterial LSU rRNA". It matches the Rfam family "Bacterial large subunit ribosomal RNA", at positions 1923 to 2925 of the family's 2925-position model. The record is from RNAcentral.
GUAAACGGCGGCCGUAACUAUAACGGUCCUAAGGUAGCGAAAUUCCUUGUCGGGUAAGUUCCGACCCGCACGAAUGGUGUAACGAUCUGGGCACUGUCUCAACUACCCACCCGGCGAAAUUGUAGUACCGGUGAAGAUGCCGGUUACCUGCGGCAAGACGGAAAGACCCCAUGGAGCUUUACUGUAGCCUGAUAUUGGGUUUCGGAAAUCUAUGUACAGGAUAGGCGGGAGACUAGGAAACAUGAGCGUCAGCUUGUGUGGAGUCGAUGUUGGGAUACCGCCCUUAGGUUUCUGGAAUUCUAACCUGCGGCCGUGAAUCCGGUCGGGGGACAUUGUCAGGUGGGCAGUUUGACUGGGGCGGUCGCCUCCGAAAAGGUAACGGAGGCGCUCAAAGGUUAGCUCAGCACGGACGGAAACCGUGCCUCUGAGUGUAAACGCAAAAGCUAGCCUAACUGCGAGGGUGACGGCCCGAGCAGUAACGAAAGUUGGAGUUAGUGAUCCGGCGGUAUGUGAAUGGAAAUGCCGUCGCUCAACGGAUAAAAGCUACCCUGGGGAUAACAGGCUGAUCUCCCCCAAGAGUCCACAUCGACGGGGAGGUUUGGCACCUCGAUGUCGGCUCAUCACAUCCUGGGGCUGUAUUCGGUCCCAAGGGUUCGGCUGUUCGCCGAUUAAAGUGGUACGCGAGCUGGGUUCAGAACGUCGCGAGACAGUUCGGUCCCUAUCUGUCGUGGGCGCAGGAUAUUUGAGGAGCUCUGUCCUUAGUACGAGAGGACCGGGAUGGACGUACCUCUGGUGCACCAGUUGUCAUGCCAAUGGCACGGCUGGGCAGCUAUGUACGGAACGGAUAAACGCUGAAAGCAUCUAAGCGUGAAGCCGACUCCAAGAUUAGAUAUCCCAUCGUAUAACGAGUAAGACCCCUUGAAGACUACGAGGUUGAUAGGCUGCGUGUGUAAGUGCCGUGAGGCAUUCAGCUUGGCAGUACUAAUAGGUCGAGGGCUUGACCAC